This 440-nucleotide ribosomal RNA is filed under the name uncultured bacterium. Its description in RNAcentral is "partial 16S ribosomal RNA". It matches the Rfam family "Bacterial small subunit ribosomal RNA", at positions 338 to 795 of the family's 1533-position model. The record is from RNAcentral.
CCUACGGGAGGCUGCAGUGGGGAAUAUUGCACAAUGGGGGAAACCCUGAUGCAGCGACGCCGCGUGAGCGAUGAAGUAUUUCGGUUUGUAAAGCUCUAUCAGCAGGGAAGAAAAUGACGGUACCUGACUAAGAAGCACCGGCUAACUACGUGCCAGCAGCCGCGGUAAUACGUAGGGGGCAAGCGUUAUACGGAUUUACUGGGGGUAAAGGGAGCGUAGACGGCGGUGCAAGCCAGAUGUGAAAGCCUGGGGCUCAACCACGGGACUGCAUUUGGAACUGUGCUGCUAGAGUGUCGGAGAGGCAGGCGGAAUUCCUAGUGUAGCGGUGAAAUGCGUAGAUAUUAAGAGGAACACCAGUGGCGAAGGCGGCCUGCUGGACGAUGACUGACGUUGAGGCUCGAAAGCGUGGGGAGCAAACAGGAUUAGAUACCCGGGUAGUC